RNAcentral lists this small RNA (1683 nucleotides) under Pongo abelii (Sumatran orangutan). Its description in RNAcentral is "retained intron". The stretch from base 770 to 1078 matches the Rfam family "Vascular endothelial growth factor (VEGF) IRES A". Lineage: Eukaryota; Metazoa; Chordata; Mammalia; Primates; Hominidae. The record is from RNAcentral.
UAAAGUCGGCUGGUAGCGGGGAGGAUCGCGGAGGCUUGGGGCAGCCGGGUAGCUCGGAGGUCGUGGCGCUGGGGGCUAGCACCAGCGCUCUGUCGGGAGGCGCAGCGGUUAGGUGGACCGGUCAGCGGACUCACCGGCCAGGGCGCUCCGUGCUGGAAUUUGAUAUUCAUAUUGAUCCGGGUUUUAUCCCUCUUCUUUUUUCUUAAACAUUUUUUUUAAACUGUAUUGUUUCCCGUUUUAAUUUAUUUUUGCUUGCCAUUCCCCACUUGAAUCGGGCCGACGGCUUGGGGAGAUUGCUCUACUUCCCCAAAUCACUGUGGAUUUUGGAAACCAGCAGAAAGAGGAAAGAGGUAGCAAGAGCUCCAGAGAGAAGUCGAGGAAGAGAGAGACGGGGUCAGAGAGAGCGCGCGGGCGUGCGAGCAGCGAGAGGGACAGGGGCAAAGUGAGUGACCUGCUUUUGGGGGUGACCGCCGGAGCGCGGCGUGAGCCCUCCCCCUUGGGAUCCCGCAGCUGACCAGUCGCGCUGACGGACAGACAGACAGACACCGCCCCCAGCCCCAGCGCCCACCUCCUCCCCGGCCGGCGGCCGACAGUGGACGCGGCGGCGAGCCGCGGGCAGGGGCCGGAGCCCGCGCCCGGAGGCGGGGUGGAGGGGGUCGGGGCUCGCGGCGUCGCGCUGAAACUUUUCGUCCAACUUCUGGGCUGUUCUCGCUUCGGAGGAGCCGUGGUCCGCGCGGGGGAAGCCGAGCGGAGCGGAGCCGCGAGAAGUGCUAGCUCGGGCCGGGAGCAGCCGCAGCCGGAGGAGGGGGAGGAGGAAGAGGAGAAGGAAGAGGAGAGGGGGCCGCGGUGGCGACUCGGCGCUCAGAAGCCGGGCUCAUGGACGGGUGAGGCGGCGGUGUGCGCAGACAGUGCUCCAGCCGCGCGCGCGCCCCAGGCCCUGGCCCGGGCCUCGGCCCGGGGAGGAAGAGUAGCUCGCCGAGGCGCCGAGGAGAGCGGGCCGCCCCACAGCCCGAGCCGGAGAGGGAGCGCUAGCCGCGCCGGCCCCGGUCGGGCCUCCGAAACCAUGAACUUUCUGCUGUCUUGGGUGCAUUGGAGCUUUGCCUUGCUGCUCUACCUCCACCAUGCCAAGUGGUCCCAGGCUGCACCCAUGGUAGAAGGAGGAGGGCAGAAUCAUCACGAAGUGGUGAAGUUCAUGGAUGUCUAUCAGCGCAGCUACUGCCAUCCAAUCGAGACCCUGGUGGACAUCUUCCAGGAGUACCCUGAUGAGAUCGAGUACAUCUUCAAGCCAUCCUGUGUGCCCCUGAUGCGAUGCGGGGGCUGCUGCAAUGACGAGGGCCUGGAGUGUGUGCCCACUGAGGAGUCCAACAUCACCAUGCAGAUUAUGCGGAUCAAACCUCACCAAGGCCAGCACAUAGGAGAGAUGAGCUUCCUACAGCACAACAAAUGUGAAUGCAGGUGAGGAUGUAGUCACGGAUUCAUUAUCAGCAAGUGGCUGCAGGAUGCCUGAUCUGUGCCAGGGUUAAGCAUGCUGUACUUUUUAGCCCCCGUCCAGCUUCUGGCUAUGUGACCUUUGGCAUUUUACUUCAAUGUGCCUCAGUUUCUACAUCUGUAAAAUGGGCACAAUAGUAGUACACUUCAUAGCAUUGUUAUAAGGGUUAAACAAGUUAUAUAUGAAAAGAUUAA